UUGCUUUCUUUGCUGGCGACCGGCGCACGGGUGAGUAACACGUAUCCAACCUGCCCUUUACUCGGGGAUAGCCUUUCGAAAGAAAGAUUAAUACCCGAUAGCAUAAUGAUUCCGCAUGGUUUCAUUAUUAAAGGAUUCCGGUAAAGGAUGGGGAUGCGUUCCAUUAGGUUGUUGGUGGGGUAACGGCCCACCAAGCCUUCGAUGGAUAGGGGUUCUGAGAGGAAGGUCCCCCACAUUGGAACUGAGACACGGCCCAA
RNAcentral lists this ribosomal RNA (257 nucleotides) under uncultured bacterium. RNAcentral's name for it is "partial 16S ribosomal RNA". It matches the Rfam family "Bacterial small subunit ribosomal RNA", at positions 76 to 334 of the family's 1533-position model. The record is from RNAcentral.